This 317-nucleotide unclassified non-coding RNA is filed under the name Hevea brasiliensis (rubber tree). The record is from RNAcentral. Lineage: Eukaryota; Viridiplantae; Streptophyta; Magnoliopsida; Malpighiales; Euphorbiaceae.
AAAACCUUCCUGAUCAAUAGUCUACUUCCUCUUUUUGGACUCCCUGAAACUAGCCAUUUAGUUUCCUAUUCUGAAGGGCAAAUCCAUGAAUCCACCGUACCUUCACCUCUUGGAGGAACAUUCUCCAAACCUUUGUCAUGGUGAAAAUCCGAUGAAGGAGUUGAGUAGUUCAACUUACAGUUGUCAAAACACCUCAAGUGAUCUUGAUUCCCACUGUUGUUUGAUCGUACCCCAUCAUUUCUCAGUCGCAUCCCUUCUGCUGUUUCGUGACUUGGCAGUCCACUCAGGUUUACAUUAAUUUGUCCAUGGCUCAUACC